RNAcentral lists this ribosomal RNA (458 nucleotides) under uncultured bacterium. RNAcentral describes it as "partial 16S ribosomal RNA". It matches the Rfam family "Bacterial small subunit ribosomal RNA", at positions 338 to 795 of the family's 1533-position model. The record is from RNAcentral.
CCUACGGGUGGCUGCAGUGAGGAAUAUUGGUCAAUGGUCGAGAGACUGAACCAGCCAAGUCGCGUGAGGGAGGAAUGCCCUGUGGGUUGUAAACCUCUUUUGUCGGGGAGCAAAAGCCGGACGUGUCCGGCGGUUAGGGUAACCGGAGGAAAAGCCUCGGCUAACUCCGUGCCAGCAGCCGCGGUAAUACGGGGGAUGCGGGCGUUAUCCGGAUUUAUUGGGUUUAAAGGGUGCGCAGGCGGGUUUGUAAGUCAGCGGUAAAAUCGUGGGGCUCAACCCCAUCCCGCCGUUGAAACUGGGGGUCUAGAGUGUGAGAGAGGUAUGCGGAAUGCGUGGUGUAGCGGUGAAAUGCAUAGAUAUCACGCAGAACCCCGAUUGCGAAGGCAGCAUACCGGUGCACAACUGACGCUCAGGCACGAAAGCGUGGGUAUCGAACAGGAUUAGAUACCCCGGUAGUC